This 482-nucleotide ribosomal RNA is filed under the name uncultured bacterium. Its description in RNAcentral is "partial 16S ribosomal RNA". It matches the Rfam family "Bacterial small subunit ribosomal RNA", at positions 28 to 523 of the family's 1533-position model. The record is from RNAcentral.
GACGAACGCUGGCGGCGUGCUUAACACAUGCAAGUCGAACGAUGAAGAAGAGCUUGCUCUUCGGAUUAGUGGCGAACGGGUGAGUAACACGUGACUAACCUGCCCCUUUCUCUGGGAUAACGCUCCAAAAGGAGUGCUAAUACCGGAUACUCACAUCGAGGCACAAGCCUUGAUGUGGAAAGUUUUUAGGAAAGGGAUGGAGUCGCGGCCUAUCAGCUUGUUGGGGAGGUAACGGCUCACCAAGGCGACGACGGGUAGCCGGCCUGAGAGGGCGACCGGCCACACUGGGACUGGGACACGGCCCAGACUCCGACGGGAGGCAGCAGUGGGGAAUAUUGCACAAUGGGCGAAAGCCUGAUGCAGCGACGCCGCGUGAGGGAUGAAGGUCUUCGGAUUGUAAACCUCUUUCAGUAGGGACGAAGCGAAAGUGACGGUACCUAAAGAAGAAGCACCGGCUAACUACGUGCCAGCCGCCGCAGUAA